AGAGAGAGAGAGAAUAACCCUACUGCUUAUCGGAUAGUUCUGUGAACGAAUCCAUGGAGGGAUGAUUUUCCAAGUGACAGCUACUUAGAUUCCGCAUGAAUUAAUACUCAUGGACCUGAUCGAGAGAAUAACCAGCAUAAUCGACCAGUUAAUAUCUCAGAAGAGCAAGAAGAAAAGGUAGAAGACGACGACGAUGAUGACGACGACGACGACGACGACGACGAAAAAAAAGAAGAAGAAUAAAAAGGAGAAGAAGACGAAGACAUAGCCAAAAGAUUACUAGGAGGAGUCUGAGAGUACAACAAAAUGAAAGGCAAUCUCGGUUAUUGGCAACGACGCUAUAUCAGAAUCCAUGGUUACGAUCCUGGGAUCUUUGCCUUAGCGAAACGUGCCAAACGUGUCACGUUAUCAUUCGAAGGAAGAUGAAGAUCCGAAGAAGAAGCUACUAACGAGCCCAAAGUCACCAUUACUGGGGUCACGGUAAGCAGUGAAAGAAAGAUGUUAGCGACCUUAAGGAAAGAUGAGAAAGGAGGAAGAAGAAGUGCUGAGGACCGAGAUUGUUAGUUUAACAAAAUUUCUCUCAGGCGUAAGAGAAAGAGAAGAAAAAAAAAAGGAAAAAGAAGAAUUAAUAUUCCACGUAAUCAAUCUCAUAUAAAAUUACAAAUCGUUCGAAAUGAAUGUGCAAUAGUCAAGAAACGGUAUAUAGCUCUAUGUAAAUCCCUUUCGUAUCGUUGGACACGAGUAAUACGUGAGUAUAGUCACCCGGAAGGAAAUCCAAAGUAAGAGAGGGUAACGUGUUCACGUUUCAAAGGGUUCUUCUCCUCCAACCUUAGGUUUGUACGACUUGGGCCAAGCUAACUAUCGUCAACCAUCCAGGAUCAGACGAGAGGGUAAAGGCAACGUUUACUCGCUACGUUUGCACAACCUUCUUUCACCGCGGCUUGCGAACUCUUACCUCUAUCAUCUCUUACACCACAUUCACCACGAUACUUCGCGAAUUAAAAGCCCAUGAAUAUGGUAAGGAUGCAAAUUCAAGGAUCGCUGUUUAUUCGGGAUCAGUGUUACUUGGCAAUCUGCAUAUUUCGGGGACAUCGGUUGGGGACACCGAAAUGAGAACUGUACUACUCUGCUCUGGUCCAGCUAUGCAUAUCACUAUACUCUCUCUCUCUCUCUCUCUCUCUAUCUAUCUAUCUAUCUAUCUUUACGUCGUUGUUGAGUAGGGUUAGAAAGCUAGAAGCAGAGAGGACUAGAUGAUACCGACCAUGCGAGAUAACUAUGGAGGUUAAUUACCGAGACGAGAGAUUCUCCUACAAAAUACACCUACGCCUAACUUCGAGGUUUGUUCAACGAGCCGUUUCCUAAUAAAUAAUCCCAAUUUCCUCAAGGAUCGUUUCUUAAUAUCCAUAUUUCUAUAAUCAAAUAUCGAGGAUUAAAAAAAUGAUUAAACGAACGAACGAGUUCAGAUGUAAAUGUUAAAAACUGAUUACUAAUCAUUUCGAAAUUGAAAGGUAAAAGUCGUGUCGCAUUGUAAGCAGUUCGAAUAAUUUUUGAAAGAAGAAAAAAAAAGAAAAGAAAAUUUCCCAAAGGUAAUCAAAUUGUCUAGUAGGUAUCUAAACAUUCGAGCAAACAUUUCCCAAACAUUUCCCAUGACAAAACGCUUCAAAAAUUAUUAAUAAAUAAAUUAAGCAAGUAAUCAGAUAUAAGAAAACUAAACAAACGACUUAUUGUCGAAUUUUAAUUAUGUAAAAAAAAAGAAAUAAAAAAUAA
Long non-coding RNA from Vespula vulgaris, 1767 nucleotides. RefSeq lists it as uncharacterized. The record is from RefSeq and is a predicted model, not a curated record. NCBI's taxonomy places the organism in Eukaryota, Metazoa, Arthropoda, Insecta, Hymenoptera, Vespidae. The transcript is spliced from 4 exons.